UGCCGGCGGAGUUCCCGUUCGAGGAUCCGCUCUUCCUCCCGGAGGGGGCCGGUGUGCCCGGCGCCGGCAUGGUGGGUUCCUGCGGCCCGCUGCUGGCGG
Molecule: transfer RNA, 99 nt
Filed under: Kitasatospora aureofaciens
Lineage: Bacteria; Bacillati; Actinomycetota; Actinomycetes; Kitasatosporales; Streptomycetaceae
Description: tRNA-Gly(tcc)
Source: RNAcentral